Molecule: ribosomal RNA, 484 nt
Filed under: uncultured bacterium
Lineage: Bacteria
Description: partial 16S ribosomal RNA
Rfam family: Bacterial small subunit ribosomal RNA
Source: RNAcentral
AUUGAACGCUGGCGGCAGGCCUAACACAUGCAAGUCGAGCGGAUGAAGGGAGCUUGCUCCUGGAUUCAGCGGCGGACGGGUGAGUAAUGCCUAGGAAUCUGCCUGGUAGUGGGGGAUAACGUCCGGAAACGGGCGCUAAUACCGCAUACGUCCUGAGGGAGAAAGUGGGGGAUCUUCGGACCUCACGCUCUCAGAUGAGCCUAGGUCGGAUUAGCUAGUUGGUGGGGUAAAGGCCUACUAAGGCGACGAUCCGUAACUGGUCUGAGAGGAUGAUCAGUCACACUGGAACUGAGACGCGGUCCAGACUCCUACGGGAGGCAGCAGUGGGGAAUAUUGGACAAUGGGCGAAAGCCUGAUCCAGCCAUGCCGCGUGUGUGAAGAAGGUCUUCGGAUUGUAAAGCACUUUAAGUUGGUAGGAAGGGCAGUAAGUUAAUACCUUGCUGUUUUGACGUUACCAACAGAAUAAGCACCGGCUAACUUCGUG